CAAAGCCGCGAGGCAGAGNAAACCCCUAAAAAGACCAUCCCAGUUCGGAUUGCAGGCUGCAACCCGCCUGUAUGAAGUUGGAAUCGCUAGUAAUCGCGGAUCAGCAUGCCGCGGUGAAUACGUUCCCGGGCCUUGUACACACCGCCCGUCACACCAUGAGAGUCGGGAACACCCGAAGUCCGUAGCCUAACCGCAAGGAGGGCGCGGCCGAAGGUGGGUUCGAUAAUUGGGGUGAAGUCGUAACAAGGUAUC
Molecule: ribosomal RNA, 252 nt
Filed under: uncultured bacterium
Lineage: Bacteria
Description: partial 16S ribosomal RNA
Rfam family: Bacterial small subunit ribosomal RNA
Source: RNAcentral